This 428-nucleotide ribosomal RNA is filed under the name uncultured prokaryote. RNAcentral describes it as "bacterial SSU rRNA". It matches the Rfam family "Bacterial small subunit ribosomal RNA", at positions 355 to 774 of the family's 1533-position model. The record is from RNAcentral.
UGGGGAAUAUUGCGCAAUGGGCGAAAGCCUGACGCAGCAACGCCGUGUGAGGGAUGAAGGCUUUCGGGUCGUAAACCUCUGUCGGAAGGGAAGAACGGGCAUUGGUCUAAUAGGCCUUUGUUUUGACGGUACCUUUAGAGGAAGCACCGGCUAACUCCGUGCCAGCAGCCGCGGUAAUACGGAGGGUGCAAGCGUUAUUCGGAAUUACUGGGCGUAAAGCGCACGUAGGCGGCUUUGGAAGUCAGGGGUGAAAGCCCACGGCCCAACCGUGGAACUGCCGUUGAAACUGCAUAGCUUGAAUCCUGGAGAGGGUGGCGGAAUUCCUGGUGUAGGAGUGAAAUCCGUAGAUAUCAGGAGGAACACCGGUGGCGAAGGCGGCCACCUGGACAGGUAUUGACGCUGAGGUGCGAAAGUGUGGGGAGCAAACA